This 492-nucleotide ribosomal RNA is filed under the name uncultured Porphyromonas sp. RNAcentral's name for it is "bacterial SSU rRNA". It matches the Rfam family "Bacterial small subunit ribosomal RNA", at positions 28 to 508 of the family's 1533-position model. Lineage: Bacteria; Pseudomonadati; Bacteroidota; Bacteroidia; Bacteroidales; Porphyromonadaceae. The record is from RNAcentral.
GAUGAACGCUAGCGAUAGGCUUAACACAUGCAAGUCGAGGGGCAGCAUGUGUCUUAGCUUGCUAAGACUGAUGGCGACCGGCGCACGGGUGCGUAACGCGUAUGCAACUUGCCUCACAGAGGGGGAUAACCUGUCGAAAGACGGACUAAUACCGCGUACACUCUAUGUUGGGCAUCCAAUGUAGAGGAAAUGAAAUUCGCUGUGAGAUAGGCAUGCGUCCCAUUAGCUAGUUGGUGAGGUAACGGCCCACCAAGGCGACGAUGGGUAGGGGAACUGAGAGGUUGAACCCCCACACUGGUACUGAGACACGGACCAGACUCCUACGGGAGGCAGCAGUGAGGAAUAUUGGUCAAUGGGCGAGAGCCUGAACCAGCCAAGUCGCGUGAAGGAUGACUGUCUUAUGGAUUGUAAACUUCUUUUAUACGGGAAUAACAAGAGCCACGUGUGGCUCCCUGCAUGUACCGUAUGAAUAAGCAUCGGCUAACUCCGUGC